ACAUACAUAUCUCAUGGGCCCAAUAUUAUCUCCUAUCAUCAUCACCAAAUGAGUUUUUUUUUUUUAAUAGAAAUUUUUCAGUGAUGUACAUAUAUUCAAAUUUAGAUCCGCUGCCAUCAAUUUUUUUGCCGAUUUUAAUUUACCUACUCGUCGUGUUCAUCUUUCUGAUGGGGUAGCUUUGUUUUUACGCUCUGUCUUGAUUUUUUUUUUUUUUUUAAAUAUACACCUGCCGCUUAUUAAAAUUUUGAAAAUAUGCGCGGAAUACAAUUUUUGAUCGGAACGAUCUCGUCAAUUUUGGCGUUCAAUGCAGUUUCAACUCUUCAAAUACUGACGCCCGAAGAAGAGAAACACUUACAAACAUUGGAAUCGCUUUUUCCGGAGGCGGCAGAUUUAUGGAAAAAAACAAUACUAAGAAUAGAAGAACUGACUGCCAGAAAGGAUGAGCUUCUUGCAGAUAGCAUGGAUAUUAUAAGGGACUACUACGGCGAGGAAGCAGCGCGGGAGUACGCCGUCAUCGCCGACGACGAAAUAGGCCUAGAGAAGUGGAAAAAUAAAUAUUUAAAACAACAUUGAGUAGACUUCUGAAGAAUUGAUGUUGGGGUGAUUGUGCAAUCAGAACACUCGAAAAUGGAAUUAAUGUGUCGAGGAGAUCCAAUUUUUCAAAUUCCAAUUCAGAUGUUUUGCUUUUGUGCUUACUUCACAGUAUCGACUAUCGAAACGCACGGGUACGUCUAUAUGUAUUACACGAUCCUAAUACUGAUGGGUUGUUCUUAAAGAAUACCGGUUGGAAUCCCAUUUUUGGGACCCGGUAUAUCGGUAAGUGGUUUAUCCCUGAAAAAAUAACACAUUUUAAGCCUUCAUGAUAUAAAAUACUUUUUUUAAAAUUACAUUUUUUGUAAUGACGAAAACUUUAUCAUCAUACUUAAUUCCAUAAACCUAUGGUAAUAAACACAUUUCACUUGGAGUUCUCUCCAUAGUUGAACUUCAGCUCGGUACCAAUAAGGAAGGGGUACCAUGUCGGUCUAUCCUUUCAAAAUCGCAAAGAGUGGCACCGGAAAGAUACAUAUAACAUUUUUGCGGUAUUCUUUCGAAAGGAGACCAUUUCCCGACCCCGAAACCGCCAUUACAUUUUUGAGAUCGAAUUACAAAACCGAUCCAGGGGUUCCCAAAGUUGUGAAAAUUGAGCACUUCCGUUGUCAUCUGUUUCGGCCAAUAAAUCCCAACCAAAAGGGGGUAGAGGGGUGCUUGUGGUCUCAAAUAACUCGUAUUGGAUCACUCUUGAAAUAUCUACCCAUCACCGUUCUCAUUUAGUGAUACUCAACAUUUCAGUGGUUCCCAAAGUAGAAUUUUUGUAUUCCUACGUUUUGAAGUCACGCAUUCAAACGAAUAUUAUCAGUAAAUAAAUUUUGCAAUCAAAAAAUGUUUCAGAUAAAAAAGUUGCAAAAUUUUAUGACGAUUUCAAAAAUGUGUCCAUUUUUUCCCUUAGCAUUGGUAGGGGCCGAGGUGAGGGGGUUGGAACGUCAAAAAACAUGAUCUAACAAAGUUACAUCCAAACCUGAAUUUGAAUUUCUCACGAGGUUUUACCGUUGAACUGUUCUCUUCAGUUGAACUUAUGAUUGUUCUCGAUACACGCAACAACCAUCCACCCCCCCACGCCUCAUCCCCCUCGCUAGAGAUUUGAUAACUACUAAAAGUGCACUCUGAACCUGGAAGUGCUUCACUUAUGAGGUUAUGUUGCUGAAGUGUCGACUCCGAAUGAACUGUGAGAAAUUCAAAUUCAGGUUUGAAUGCAAGUUUUUUAGAUCACGUUUUUUGACGUUCCAAUCCCCUCACCUCCGCUCCUAACAAUGCUAGGGAAAAAAAUGACACAUUUUUGAAAUCGCCAUAAAAUUUUGCAACUUUUUUAUCUGAAACAUUUUUUGAUUGCAAAAUUUAUUUACUGACAAUAUUCGUUUGAAUGCGUGACUUCAAAACCUUGGAAUACAAAAAUUCAACUUUGGGAACCACUGAAAUGUUGAGUAUCACUAAAUGAGAACGGUCAUUGAUAGAUAUGUCAAGAGUGAUCCAAUACGAGUUAUUUGAGACCACAAGCACCCCUCUAUCACCUUUUGGUUAUGAUUUAUUGGCCAAAACAGAUGACAACGAAAGUGCUCAAUUUACACAACUUUGGGAACCCAUGGAUCGGUUUUGCAAUUCGAUCUCAAAAAUGUAAUGGUGGUUUUGGGGUCGGGAAAUGGUCCCCUUUCGAAGGAAUACCGCAAACAUUUUAUAUCUUUCCGAUGCCACUCUAUUGCGAUUUUGAAACGAUAGACCAACAUGGUACCCCAACGAAAGUGGGUGGAUAAAGUCAUUAGAGUAUGCAACAAAUAGUCCGGCAUAACGACAACAGGAGUAAUUGCACCCCCCCCAUCCUCCGAGACAACUUUUUUCUUAAAGGGGACAUCCUAAGGAACAUUUUAAGGCAAACUUGCCCGAAAAAAGUUGGCCUUAAUUACAAAAUGGCGGCCAUUUUGACUGACACAGGUCAGCCAAAAUCGCAGAUUUGCGUUUCAGCGUAGGACUUGCACGAAAUUUUUCAAACCUUACAAAGGUAGAUCGAAAGAUCAUGCAAAAAUUCAUCACCUGUCAAAAUUUCAAGCGCUAAGGUGCGUUUUUCGAUUUUUGGUGAAUUUUUGAAAAUCGAAUUUAGGCCAAAAAUGAGAGGAAAAUCAAAAUUUUACCAAAUUGACCAAGAAAGCUGAACUUUGGAAUAUAUCGCCUAUUUUCGAUAGGCCAAAUCGAUUGAAAACGGUUUCAACCCGUUUUGAGCAGUUCUGGAGCCUCCAGCAGAUUAUUGAAACUCGAAAUUCCCACAAAAUUACUUCAAAUUGGAGUUGAAAAGCUGAAAUUCAUUCUAAAAACUAAUUUCGAUACGCUACGAAGUACUGCAUGUGAAUUUCAAGUCGUUUUGGAGCCUCCAGCGACUUUUUGAAAGGUUAUAUGGCGUUUUUUUUGGAAAAUUGAAAUUUCCUAAAAGUAGCUGGAAGCAUCAAAACCAAUUGAAACCACCAUGUAGUCUGCGAAGUAAAUUUCAGCUUGCCAACUCCAUUUGAUAAAUUAAUGUUUCGGGAGUUUCAAGUUUCACAAAUCUACUGGAGGCUCCAGUUAUUUUCAAAAAAGUCGCUGGAGGCUCUAAAAUAACUUGAACCCAUCUGAAGUCGUCUUCAGAGGGUGUUAAAAUUGGAGUGUAGAGUAAAUUUCAGCUUUCCAUCUCCAUUUGAUGAAAUUUUGUGAAAAUUUAAAGCUUCAAAAAACUGCUGGAGGCUUCAGGAAUUUUCAAAAAGUCGCUGGAGGCUCCAAAACGACUUGAAAUUCACCUGCAGUACUUCAUAGCGAAUUGAAAUUAGUCUUUAGAAUAAAUUUCAGCCUUACAACUCCAAUUUGAUGAAAUUUUUUGGGAAUUUCGAGUUUCAAAAAUCUGCUGGAGGCUCCAGAACUGCUGAAAACAGGUUGAAACCGUUUUCAAUCGAUUUGACAUGUCCAAAAUAGGGUAUAUCCCAAAUUUCAGCUUUCUUGGUCAAUUUGGUAAAAUUUUGAUUUUUCCCUCAUUUUUUUUUUUGGCCUAAAUUGGAUUUUCAAAAAUUCACCAAAAAUCGAAAAACGCACUUUAGCACUUGAAAUUUUGACAGGUGAUGAAUUUUUGCAUGAUCUUUUGAUUUACCUUUAUAAGGUUUGAAAAAUUUCGUUCAAGACCUUUUUUUGAAACGCAAAAUGUGUGAUUUCGGCUGAUAUGACCUGUCAAUCAAAAAGGCUGCCAUUUUGUAAACAAGGCCAACUUUUUUUCGGGCAAGUUUGCUUUAAAAUGUUCCUUAGGAUAUCCCCUGUAAGAAAAAAAGUUGUCCCGUAGGAUCGGGGGGGGGGGGGGGUGCAAUUACUCCUACUGUCAUAUGCCGGACUAAAAGCAUGAGAAACGGCUUCAUAGGCACAUCAACCCAGAGACAAUUCAAGUGGCAGAUAUAUGUACUAGUAUGAUGGUUAGACGUCUUAAACGUCAAAAGCCUAAUGACCUAGUGAUGUAAUAACAUGUUAUGUUUAUAGCAGAUUAUCUGCUCAUGUUACUGAAUAAAUUAAAUUUACGGCAGACUUACUUACUCAGUUUUAUUAGCCAAUGAAUUAAAAUCAACAAAUUCCAUGGAACCAAGAGCUUGUUUCAUAAAUAAUAAUAAUUUUUUUUUUUUUAUUCGAUUCAUCUCAUACAAUAUAAAUCUACAAUAAGUUCUCCCUGGCCUAUGCGCAAUAUUGCGCGAGCGACACAGGGCUUUAAUGUUAAACAUACUACGUACUUAUUUAAGAAGUAUCUCAAGAUUGUAAUAUUGAUAAAUAUGUCAAAAAAAAUUUCAUAAUUCAAGAAAUACAAACCAAAUAAAAUUAUUAUGCAA
Long non-coding RNA from Planococcus citri (citrus mealybug), 4418 nucleotides. RefSeq lists it as uncharacterized. The transcript is spliced from 3 exons. Lineage: Eukaryota; Metazoa; Arthropoda; Insecta; Hemiptera; Pseudococcidae. The record is from RefSeq and is a predicted model, not a curated record.